RNAcentral lists this long non-coding RNA (311 nucleotides) under Homo sapiens (human). RNAcentral describes it as "HSALNT0311491". The record is from RNAcentral. Lineage: Eukaryota; Metazoa; Chordata; Mammalia; Primates; Hominidae.
UGCCCAUUUGCAAAACAAAAAUACUAAUAAUCAGUAAUAGUCCUAGAAAAGAUGUUAAUUCUGUUUAGUCAUUGACUGAUAUUGCGCUAACCUUGAAAUUGUAUGAUUAUUGACCUCUGUUGCAUUUAUUCUAAAGCCCCCCAAAAAUUAUCUAGCCGUUUCGAAUAUCAACAAAUUGCUUGUUCUUGAGAACUUUCCCAUCAAGAAUUUAGUAGAAGCAGGUAUACUUCUAUCAUUUUGAUGUUUUUGUUAAUGUUUCCAAACAAUGUACUUUGAAAUCAGAAUCACUUCUUAUCACUAUCGUGUAGGGA